Small nuclear RNA from Nycticebus coucang (slow loris), 107 nucleotides. Lineage: Eukaryota; Metazoa; Chordata; Mammalia; Primates; Lorisidae. The record is from RefSeq and is a predicted model, not a curated record.
GUGCUUGCUUUCGCAACACAUAUAAUAAAAUUUAAACAAUACAUAGACAAUUAGCAUAACUCAUGUGCAAAGGUCACACGCAGUUUCUUGAGACACUUCUUAUUUUG